Molecule: RNase P RNA, 180 nt
Filed under: Algoriphagus sp.
Lineage: Bacteria; Pseudomonadati; Bacteroidota; Cytophagia; Cytophagales; Cyclobacteriaceae
Description: partial RNase P RNA component class A
Rfam family: Bacterial RNase P class A
About the family: Ribonuclease P (RNase P) is a ubiquitous endoribonuclease, found in archaea, bacteria and eukarya as well as chloroplasts and mitochondria. Its best characterised activity is the generation of mature 5'-ends of tRNAs by cleaving the 5'-leader elements of precursor-tRNAs.
Source: RNAcentral
CGUGCAAGUCGGCUUGUCGCCGUUCCGAUUCUAUCGGAAAGGAGGAAAGUCCGGGCAACACAGAGCGCCAUACUUCCUAACGGGAAGGGUAUUCAUCAGAAAAGGUGGAUAUACAGAAAGUGCCACAGAAAAUAUACCGCCCCGAUAGCUAUAGGGGUAAGGGUGAAAAGGUAGAGUAAG